AGAGUUUGAUCCAUGGCUCAGAACGAACGCUGGCGGCAUGCCUAACACAUGCAAGUCGAACGAGACCUUCGGGUCUAGUGGCGCACGGGUGCGUAACGCGUGGGAACCUGCCUUUAGGUUCGGAAUAACUCAGAGAAAUUUGAGCUAAUACCGGAUGAUGUCUUCGGACCAAAGAUUUAUCGCCUUUAGAUGGGCCCGCGUUGGAUUAGCUAGUUGGUGGGGUAAAGGCCUACCAAGGCGACGAUCCAUAGCUGGUCUGAGAGGAUGAUCAGCCACACUGGGACUGAGACACGGCCCAGACUCCUACGGGAGGCAGCAGUGGGGAAUAUUGGACAAUGGGCGAAAGCCUGAUCCAGCAAUGCCGCGUGAGUGAUGAAGGCCUUAGGGUUGUAAAGCUCUUUUACCCGAGAUGAUAAUGACA
RNAcentral lists this ribosomal RNA (421 nucleotides) under Erythrobacter donghaensis. RNAcentral describes it as "bacterial SSU rRNA". It matches the Rfam family "Bacterial small subunit ribosomal RNA", at positions 8 to 456 of the family's 1533-position model. The record is from RNAcentral. Lineage: Bacteria; Pseudomonadati; Pseudomonadota; Alphaproteobacteria; Sphingomonadales; Erythrobacteraceae.